This 322-nucleotide long non-coding RNA is filed under the name Brassica napus (rape). Its description in RNAcentral is "long non-coding RNA (BNAP_LNC011112)". The record is from RNAcentral. Lineage: Eukaryota; Viridiplantae; Streptophyta; Magnoliopsida; Brassicales; Brassicaceae.
UGCUGUUGAAACAUUUUCUGGCUGUUGAGAGGAGAGACUGGUUCCUCCCACUUCAAAGGCCUUAGGAACAUUAUUAUCUCCCACCUUUGUUUUCUCGAUAGCUCUGUAAACUUUGCCCGCUCGUUCUUCCGGUCCCUUUAGUGCAACUGACAAGUUUCGGGUUUUUGAUUUUGAUCUUGAUCUUCCCCUACGAGUCUUCUUGCCUGGUCCAUUAUUAUUCUGCUUUUUGUUCUGCGGGCAAUUUGGGGUAGUAUGGCCGCUUGAAGAGCAAAUGGCACAAAGUUUCGAAACUUUACUACACCCUCUAGCAGAAUAACCUAUC